This is a non-coding RNA of Myotis lucifugus (little brown bat), 75 nucleotides long. NCBI's taxonomy places the organism in Eukaryota, Metazoa, Chordata, Mammalia, Chiroptera, Vespertilionidae. The record is from Rfam.
GGUGGUUCUCGGGUGAUGCACCCCAGAAUCGGGUUCCCUCCUCUCUGGUUCCAGGUGUGUCACCACAGCUCAGCA